RNAcentral lists this ribosomal RNA (590 nucleotides) under uncultured bacterium. RNAcentral's name for it is "bacterial SSU rRNA". It matches the Rfam family "Bacterial small subunit ribosomal RNA", at positions 337 to 917 of the family's 1533-position model. The record is from RNAcentral.
UCCUACGGGAGGCAGCAGUAGGGAAUCUUCCGCAAUGGACGAAAGUCUGACGGAGCAACGCCGCGUGAGUGAUGAAGGCUUUCGGGUCGUAAAACUCUGCUGUUAGGGAAGAACAAGUGCUAGUUGAAUAAGCUGGCACCUUGACGGUACCUAACCAGAAAGCCACGGCUAACUACGUGCCAGCAGCCGCGGUAAUACGUAGGUGGCAAGCGUUAUCCGGAAUUAUUGGGCGUAAAGCGCGCGCAGGUGGUUUCUUAAGUCUGAUGUGAAAGCCCACGGCUCAACCGUGGAGGGUCAUUGGAAACUGGGAGACUUGAGUGCAGAAGAGGAAAGUGGAAUUCCAUGUGUAGCGGUGAAAUGCGUAGAGAUAUGGAGGAACACCAGUGGCGAAGGCGACUUUCUGGUCUGUAACUGACACUGAGGCGCGAAAGCGUGGGGAGCAAACAGGAUUAGAUACCCUGGUAGUCCACGCCGUAAACGAUGAGUGCUAAGUGUUAGAGGGUUUCCGCCCUUUAGUGCUGAAGUUAACGCAUUAAGCACUCCGCCUGGGGAGUACGGCCGCAAGGCUGAAACUCAAAGGAAUUGACGGA